Molecule: ribosomal RNA, 426 nt
Filed under: uncultured Paenibacillus sp.
Lineage: Bacteria; Bacillati; Bacillota; Bacilli; Caryophanales; Paenibacillaceae
Description: bacterial SSU rRNA
Rfam family: Bacterial small subunit ribosomal RNA
Source: RNAcentral
UAGGGAAUCUUCCGCAAUGGGCGAAAGCCUGACGGAGCAAUGCCGCGUGAGUGAUGAAGGUUUUCGGAUCGUAAAGCUCUGUUGCCAGGGAAGAACGCUUGGGAGAGUAACUGCUCUCAAGGUGACGGUACCUGAGAAGAAAGCCCCGGCUAACUACGUGCCAGCAGCCGCGGUAAUACGUAGGGGGCAAGCGUUGUCCGGAAUUAUUGGGCGUAAAGCGCGCGCAGGCGGUCAUGUAAGUCUGGUGUUUAAUCCCGGGGCUCAACCCCGGAUCGCACUGGAAACUGCGUGACUUGAGUGCAGAAGAGGAGAGUGGAAUUCCACGUGUAGCGGUGAAAUGCGUAGAGAUGUGGAGGAACACCAGUGGCGAAGGCGACUCUCUGGGCUGUAACUGACGCUGAGGCGCGAAAGCGUGGGGAGCAAACA